UCAUGCAGGGCAUACUGGGGUUUCAGGGGGCCGUACGGCCCCUGAGCUCCCCAGCCCCCACCGGCUCCAUCACGGAGCUGGCAAUCGUCACAGAGAUGAGCGUGCGCAUGUCUCUGUGAUGUGCGCAUGCGCGCGCAAAGGACUGCUGGGUUUUUUUGCAAAUAACGUCGGGGAAGGGGCGGCAGGGAGGUGUCCUGCCGCCCCAAUUACACAGAGGAUUACGGCACCAAGCGGGAAAGCGGCGGGAGGGGUAAGUAAACCCCCAGACCGAACCACCCAGCUCCGGACCAGUCCGGAGGCUUUUUAAAUAGCCUGCAGACUGGUCUGGGCCCAUCCCUAUUGCACUCCCCAUGCAUAUAAGAGGCAUAUAAUCUUUGGAGACUUUCAAGAGAGCCAUAGACCCAUCUUUUCAGCCUGAUUUUUAAUAAUAUUGAAUUGGUUUUAAAUGGUUUUAAAAAUGAGUUAAUGUUAAUAUUUUAACUGCUUUUUAUUUUAUGUUAAAUAUUAAAUAAUUUGAAUUUUUGAUGUAAACCAUACUAAGCCGUUCUGGGAUGCGUGGUAUAUACAUGAAAUGAAUGUCUGUGCGCGCGCGUGUGUGUGUGUGUGUGUGUGUGUGUGUGUGUGUGUGUGUGGUGAUGCUGUUGUUGAUGGAGAAAAUGCUUUUUUCCUCCCUAGUGUAUAAUCAUCUCUGAAGGACCACCUUCUCCCAUGUGAACCUGGCAUUUAUGGCAGAAAGAUGAAAUAAAAAAUAGAAAUUGAAGAAAUAUCCAUACCACCCUUGUAUUCAUCAGCUUUCACUUGUGUAAGCAGUGCAAGCUUAAACUCCAACCCUGUUUGGACAGAACAACAAACCAGAGGAGCCCAGAAUCCUUCCUGUUGGGAAUAACGCAAGGAGAGUUUUCUACAAGCAAUUUAACAUUCUUCAUGUAUGCAACCACGGUGGCCAGAAUAUUAUAUGCACAGAAAUGGAAGGACAAUGAACUGCCCUCAAAAGAAGAUUGGCUGAUAAAAAUUUUGGAAUAUGCGGAGAUGGCAAAACUUACAGUACUGAUAAGAGAUCAAAAUUUGGAAGGUUUUAAAGAAGAUUGGAAAUCAUUCUUACUGUAUCUAAAGAACUAUUUUCCUAAUAUUGGUUUUUCAACAGGGUUUGAAAUUUAGUAAUAUUAGCAGGUUGAGUAGAUUAAAAUCGAGUUUGGUAAGAUAUAGGAUAUAUGUUUUGAAUUAUUAUAGCAAGGGUUAAUUGUAUAGUUAGUGAUUCGCGCUGACUGGUGAGCUGGAAGUCAAUUUUUGUUUAAUUGGAUGGAGUGAGAUGUUCAAGAUAUUGUUAAAAUCAAUAAAAAUUUAAAGCACAAAAAAGAAAGAAAGAAAA
Molecule: long non-coding RNA, 1369 nt
Organism: Hemicordylus capensis (graceful crag lizard)
Lineage: Eukaryota; Metazoa; Chordata; Lepidosauria; Squamata; Cordylidae
Exons: 3
Source: RefSeq, a predicted model, not a curated record